RNAcentral lists this ribosomal RNA (458 nucleotides) under uncultured bacterium. RNAcentral describes it as "partial 16S ribosomal RNA". It matches the Rfam family "Bacterial small subunit ribosomal RNA", at positions 338 to 795 of the family's 1533-position model. The record is from RNAcentral.
CCUACGGGUGGCAGCAGUGAGGAAUAUUGGUCAAUGAGCGAGAGCCUGAACCAGCCAAGUCGCGUGAGGGAGUACUGCCCUAUGGGUUGUAAACCUCUUUUGUCGGGGAGCAAAAGCCGGACGUGUCCGGCUGUGAGAGUACCCGAAGAAAAAGCAUCGGCUAACUCCGUGCCAGCAGCCGCGGUAAUACGGAGGAUGCGAGCGUUAUCCGGAUUUAUUGGGUUUAAAGGGUGCGCAGGCGGAUUUUUAAGUCAGCGGUAAAAUCGUGGGGCUCAACCCCAUCCAGCCGUUGAAACUGGGGAUCUAGAGUGUGCGAGAGGUAUGCGGAAUGCGUGGUGUAGCGGUGAAAUGCAUAGAUAUCACGCAGAACCCCGAUUGCGAAGGCAGCAUACCGGUGCACAACUGACGCUCAGGCACGAAAGCGUGGGUAUCGAACAGGAUUAGAUACCCCAGUAGUC